Molecule: non-coding RNA, 427 nt
Organism: Cajanus cajan (pigeon pea)
Lineage: Eukaryota; Viridiplantae; Streptophyta; Magnoliopsida; Fabales; Fabaceae
Source: RefSeq, a predicted model, not a curated record
AUUCUUAAAUUAGAUUAUUUGUGCUUCACUUUAGGUUCUUCAAGACAACAGUGCCAGGAAAGAGGAACUCCGUGCUCGAGCUAAAGGGUUGAAAACUCUUGGUAAAAUCUUCCAGAGGGUUAAGUCAGCCAAUGGUAACGAGAAUGAAAGCAUACCAAAUAAGGAAGUACACAAGUUGAAUGGAAGUGAAACUAGCAACGAUGCUUGUUCUCCUAGUACAUCACCCAAAUCUUCAAGUCCUGAUUUUUCAACUCAUGCUGUAUUUGUAUCCCAGAGUCCCUAUGUGGAGGCCCCGCAGUUUGCUGGAAUGCAAUUUGACUAUAACUUUCCUAGGCCAACCGCCCCCCCAGGUGCCCAGAGACCUACUCCAACCAGCAAGGAUCGAGUUUGAUAUCCCGGGUGUAGUUUUUUUUUUUUUUUUUUUUUU